RNAcentral lists this ribosomal RNA (492 nucleotides) under uncultured bacterium. RNAcentral describes it as "partial 16S ribosomal RNA". It matches the Rfam family "Bacterial small subunit ribosomal RNA", at positions 29 to 507 of the family's 1533-position model. The record is from RNAcentral.
AGUGAACGCUGGCGGUAGGCCUAACACAUGCAAGUCGAACGGCAGCACAGUAAGAGCUUGCUCUUACGGGUGGCGAGUGGCGGACGGGUGAGGAAUACAUCGGAAUCUACUUUUUCGUGGGGGAUAACGUAGGGAAACUUACGCUAAUACCGCAUACGACCUACGGGUGAAAGCAGGGGAUCUUCGGACCUUGCGCGAUUGAAUGAGCCGAUGUCGGAUUAGCUAGUUGGCGGGGUAAAGGCCCACCAAGGCGACGAUCCGUAGCUGGUCUGAGAGGAUGUUCAGCCACACUGGAACUGAGACACGGUCCAGACUCCUACGGGAGGCAGCAGUGGGGAAUAUUGGACAAUGGGCGCAAGCCUGAUCCAGCCAUACCGCGUGGGUGAAGAAGGCCUUCGGGUUGUAAAGCCCUUUUGUUGGGAAAGAAAGGCAGCAGGUUAAUACCCCGCUGUUCUGACGGUACCCAAAGAAUAAGCACCGGCUAACUUCGUG